RNAcentral lists this ribosomal RNA (253 nucleotides) under uncultured bacterium. Its description in RNAcentral is "partial 16S ribosomal RNA". It matches the Rfam family "Bacterial small subunit ribosomal RNA", at positions 524 to 776 of the family's 1533-position model. The record is from RNAcentral.
UACGGAGGGUGCAAACGUUGUUCGGAAUUACUGGGCGUAAAGGGCGCGUAGGCGGUUCGUUAAGUCCUGUGUGAAAUCCCCCGGCUCAACUGGGGAACUGCACAGGAAACUAGCGGGCUUGAGUUCGGGAGAGGGAAGCGGAAUUCCGGGUGUAGCGGUGAAAUGCGUAGAUAUCCGGAGGAACACCGGUGGCGAAGGCGGCUUCCUGGACCGACACUGACGCUGAGGCGCGAAAGCUAGGGGAGCAAACGGG